GCCAGAAGAGGUGCGUCGCCCAGGUAGUGUGUCCGAGGAGCCUAUCCAAUGAAGACACAGGAGGGGGAGCAACGCCGAGGAAAUUUGCGCGUCGGCCGCGAAAGUUUCCGACCGCAGGGGCUGAAUCCCCUGGGUUGUCACCCGGAGCGCCGCAGUGCAGCGUUUCGCAAGGUGGAGCGCUUCUGGGU
This 188-nucleotide non-coding RNA is filed under the name insect gut metagenome. RNAcentral's name for it is "Lysine riboswitch". It matches the Rfam family "Lysine riboswitch aptamer". From Rfam's summary of the family: Riboswitches are metabolite binding domains within certain messenger RNAs that serve as precision sensors for their corresponding targets. Allosteric rearrangement of mRNA structure is mediated by ligand binding, and this results in modulation of gene expression. This family includes riboswitches that sense lysine in a number of genes involved in lysine metabolism, including lysC. The record is from RNAcentral.